GAUGAAGAACGCAGCGAAAUGCGAUACGUAAUGUGAAUUGCAGAAUUCAGUGAAUCAUCGAAUCUUUGAACGCAUAUUGCGCUCUCUGGUAUUCCGGAGAGCGUGCUUGUUUGAGUAUCAGUAAACACCUCAACUUCCAUAUCUUUUUUGAAAUGGGAGUUGGACUUGAGUGAUCCCAACGCUUUUCCUCACCGAAAAGUGGCGGGUUACUUGAAAUGCAGGUGCAGCUGGACUUUUCUCUGAGCUAUAAGCAUAUCUAUUUAGUCUGCCUAAAAAACAGAUUAUUACCUUUGCUGCAGCUAACAUAAAGGAGAUUAGUUCUUGUGCUGACUGAUGCAGGAUUCACAAAGACAGGCUUCGGCCGACUUUGUAAACUCGAUCUCAAAUCAAGUAAGACUACCCGCUGAACUUAAGCAUAUCAAUAAGCGGAGGA
This 433-nucleotide unclassified non-coding RNA is filed under the name soil metagenome. RNAcentral describes it as "partial contains 5.8S ribosomal RNA, internal transcribed spacer 2, and large subunit ribosomal RNA". The stretch from base 1 to 120 matches the Rfam family "5.8S ribosomal RNA", at positions 35 to 154 of the family's 154-position model. The record is from RNAcentral.